Molecule: long non-coding RNA, 2027 nt
Organism: Diorhabda sublineata
Lineage: Eukaryota; Metazoa; Arthropoda; Insecta; Coleoptera; Chrysomelidae
Exons: 2
Source: RefSeq, a predicted model, not a curated record
AUAAUUUGGUUAUCUAUACUUAAAAGUAGAAAAUAGUUUGAAAUUUUUAAUAAAAAUAUAAAUUUUUUACACCCUUUUAAUACUCCUAUGAGAAAGUAGAAAUGUCAAUAGUGGAUUUAAACAAGUGUUGUAAUACAAUGAAUUAAAAUAUGAAAAUAAUGCUACAAAAGGUCAACGUCGACGUUCAAUCUUAAGUUAAGUGAAAGUCCAUGGUCAGUGCUACCGGAAAAUCGUGGAGAUAAUGUUUUGACUCAUAGCUACUUAUUUGAUGCUACACCUGAACCUAAAUGUGACAACUGCAAUUGCAAAUUGACUAUAAAACAAAUAAUCGCAGAAGAAGAAAUUUUAUGACCUAAAUACAACGCAACUAACCUCAAAAAUUACUCAGACCGAUCCAUGAUGUAAAGACUACAAGGUAUGUUCUUCCCGAGGGCUCAUUUUCCACUCGUUCUGCGCAUCUCUCAAGAGCCAAUGAGAAUUCAGUCCCGAAUUGGCGCAUCGUUUUGGGAGCUAAUUCUCAUUGGCUGCUUCCCAGCUGGUGCGCUAUAGCACACCUUGUAGUCUUUACAUCAUAGACAGAUCUCGAUCAUUAGCUUAAUACAACAAAUAUCUGUAGAUAAAAUAACAUUCAACUCGUAUUGUUAAAAAAAUUGAAUCGCUAAUAACCAGUAUUCGGUUGAUGCGAAUUUUGUAAUAAAAAACACACUUACAAUGGAAAAAAAAUUAUUCAUCUUCUAAUGGCGCCUUAAACUUUCAUAAAAAGAAGAAGAAAUGUGAAUAUCAAAUUAAAACUAGUGUUGUGGUGAAGUCAUAAAUUAAAAGAUGAAAUUAUUGUUACAAAAAUAAAAUAAAUCCAUUGAAAUAUAAUUAAAGUAGGAAAACAGUUUGAAAUUGUUAAUAAACAGAAGAUCCAAAAUUUUUCAACCUUUCUAAUGAUAAAAAAAGUGUUCGAUAUGGUAUUUUCAUGAUUAAUAUAAUGCUACAACAAUAAUUAGAUCCGCGAGAAGAAAAUAGUCUAAAAUUAUGGAAAAAAAGUCAAAAACUGUGCUCAAAACGUUCAUAAGAGUAAGAAAAAGUCAAUUGGAGAUUAAAACAAUCAUUUUCACGAUACUAAACAUGAAUUAAAAUUGAACUCAUGCCAAGAAAAUUGAGAAACAGCUACAUCCCUUUCCUCUAAAGCUGCCAACACGGGAUUCUCAUUUUCUUCAGAAAAUUGGAGGUUAAAGGAGAUUAUUAGAUUCAAAAACAAAUCAGGUAUCUGCUCUUCUAAAUCUGUAUCUGGAGGAUAUUCGAUGUUAUCAAGAAUGAAUGAAAGGAAUCUUUUUCCCAAAAAAUCUAAAAAAUAUUGAAUUGUUUUUAAAAAUAUUCUUUUUUAUUUCAUCAUGAUUUGAUGAUUACCAUUAUGAGUCACAGGCAUUGGUUCUCCCAUUGAAAAUACCAUUGUUAAUAGUAAAGACGAAUAAUUUAGUUUUGGAAUGUUUCUUGGAUUUGACAUGAUAUCCCUAGAAAAUAUUUUUAAUAAUAUAAUAACACAAAAAGAAUUUGAGAAGGAAAAAAAGACAAAUGAGGUGUGAAAUAAGGUGACUUGGGAACAGAAUAAAAACAUAUCCCCUUAAAGAGUCACAAUUAAAUCAGAUUAAAAAAUAUUGUAAAUGUGUUAAUAUAUUAUAAUGAGAAGAAAAACAUCAGAAGCUCAAAAAUAGCUACAAAGAUUAAAUAUGAAAGAAUACACAAUAAAUCGAAGUUCAAGGAUGUGGAUACUUGUGACAUCAUUAUUUUGCAAGAAAGGCUGCAAGAAGCUGAUUUUUCUCCAAAAUAACAUCCUAACCUUAAUUUCAGAGAAGUUGGAAAGACACACAAAAACAAAAAAGAAUAAAGUAACUAAAGAAACGGAAAUAAAUAGCUCAUUAGAAAGUUUGAAGGAAAUUUCCUUAUGAAAGUGUCAUCAAUUUUUCAGAAAUCUAAAAUCAAAAUCAUCAAGUUUCAGUAUAUAUAAUAAUAAUGUGAAAAUAUAAACUUUUCAGUAA